Molecule: long non-coding RNA, 707 nt
Filed under: Pongo abelii (Sumatran orangutan)
Lineage: Eukaryota; Metazoa; Chordata; Mammalia; Primates; Hominidae
Description: lincRNA
Source: RNAcentral
GUCCUCGCCUCGCUGGGCUCAGCACCCCGGCCGCCGGCAGGACGGAGGCUCGGGUCCGAAGCAGUGGCUGCACCGACACGAACCCGUCUGCGUUUGUCCACCUGUCUUCCCUCGCCAUCUGCAUCUAAUAUGGUCUCUAAAUGCCUCGCUUUGUACUUUGUGGCUUUCUGGCAGCCCUUUAAAGCAGCGGAGAAAAAGGAGAGAGUCAAGACACGGGAGAAAAUGUUUCAUCCCGGGUUCUUCUAGUGGUGCCCGCCUUGACACAACUCAGGGGGGCUGCCUAAGCAAAAGGUGGAAAAGAUGGAGCUGGAAGACAAAGACGGUUCCGGAUUCCAAAACUUCAAUGGCGUCGCCAAAUUGACGAGCUCAUUAACCUUUGGAGUAUUAUUAUUUAAAAAGUAGGAAAUAAAAGAUAAAUGUAGAAAUAUUUAAUAAAAGAAAAACGUAAGCUCUCAGACAAUUUUCUUUAUUACUUUUUUUUUUGAGACGGAGUCUCGCUCUGUCGCCCAGUGGCAUGAUCUUGGCUCACUGCAAGCUCCGCCUCCCGGGUUUACGCCAUUCUCCUGGCUCAGCCUCCCGAGUAGCUGGGACUACAGGCGCCCGCCACCACGUCCGGCUAAUUUUUUCUAUUUUUUGGUAGAGACGGGGUUUCACCGUGUUAGCCAGGAUGGUCUCGAUCUCCUGACCUCGUGAUCCGCCCGCCUCGG